RNAcentral lists this ribosomal RNA (377 nucleotides) under uncultured bacterium. RNAcentral describes it as "bacterial SSU rRNA". It matches the Rfam family "Bacterial small subunit ribosomal RNA", at positions 521 to 896 of the family's 1533-position model. The record is from RNAcentral.
UAAUACGUAGGUGGCAAGCGUUACUCGGAAUUACUAGGCGUAAAGCGCAGGUAGGUGGUUUGGCAAGUCCGUAAUGAAAUCUCCCGGCUUAACUGGGAGGGGUUUAGGGAUACUGCCAGGCUUGAGUGUGGGAGAGGUAACUGGAAUUCCUGGUGUAGCGGUGAAAUGCGUAGAGAUCAGGAGGAACACCUAUGGCGAAAGCAGGUUACUGGCCCAAUACUGACACUGAGCUGCGAAAGCUAGGGGAGCAAACAGGAUUAGAUACCCUGGUAGUCCUAGCCAUAAACGAUGCAGACCAGAGGUGGGGGGUAUCGACCCCCUCCGCCCCGAACCUAACGGAUUAAGUCUGCCGCCUGGGGAGUACGGCCGCAAGGUUG